Non-coding RNA from Cadophora sp. MPI-SDFR-AT-0126, 84 nucleotides. NCBI's taxonomy places the organism in Eukaryota, Fungi, Ascomycota, Leotiomycetes, Helotiales, Ploettnerulaceae. The record is from the annotation of a GenBank genome assembly.
GUCUCGAUAGCUCAGUGGUAGAGCGGAAGAUUGCAGUAAUCGCAAGAUAUCUUCAGGUCAGGUGUUCGAACCACCUUCGGGACU